UUUAAUAUUAACAACACAUAGCCAUUAAACUGAAAACAAACCAAAUCACCAUGUCUGUAACCAAAAAGAAAGAAACAAAUCACCGUGUCUAAUUUAAUUAAAUUAGGAAUUAGAUUGAUGAUAGCUUGUACGUUGUAUUUGAACCAUUUGCAGUAAGUAGAAUAUACAUAACUGCUACUAAUCACAAAACCCAACUUGUAACAACCCCGCAACAAUUUAGAGAGGCAAAUUUGCAUAAUCAUAAAAACGAAAAUAAAGAUUGUAUUAGGCAUAUAUAAAUUAUAAUCCAUGUGCUACUGCUUCCAUGAAAAAGAAAACUAGGGAAGAUUUGAUAACUCAUGAUAAUAACUAGGUUAUAUUCAAUACAUUCUCUGAUAUGUAAGGUGAUAAGCGUCCUUGGACCUGAAAAGAAGUAAUGUUUUUUACAUUAGAACAUGUAUUCGUUAAUCAUGAUAUUAUUUAUAAAACAUAGACAAUAAUAAUAAACCAUUACCUUUCCCUACACGGAUUAAAAAAAUAAAAUAAGAAAAUGAACAUUACAUUGAAAGUUUGAAACAAGGGUGAUUCGAUUGAUUUCAAAACACUUGAACAAGAUUGAUGUUAAGAAGUAUAGGUUUAGGGUAACGGAAGAAGGAAAUGAAGAAUAGACGUAAAACUCAAGGUAAUAACUUGAAUUUAUUAUUAUUUGUAAAAAAAAAAAAGUGACGUGCAAAGAAUCUUAUUCAAUCUAAUGCUUGUACAAAUAAUUAGUGUGUACCGGUACUACUAG
RNAcentral lists this long non-coding RNA (769 nucleotides) under Medicago truncatula (barrel medic). Its description in RNAcentral is "long non-coding RNA (MTRU_LNC006768)". The record is from RNAcentral. Lineage: Eukaryota; Viridiplantae; Streptophyta; Magnoliopsida; Fabales; Fabaceae.